AAAUUGAAGAGUUUGAUCAUGGCUCAGAUUGAACGCUGGCGGCAGGCCUAACACAUGCAAGUCGAACGGUAACAGGAAGCAGCUUGCUGCUUUGCUGACGAGUGGCGGACGGGUGAGUAAUGUCUGGGAAACUGCCUGAUGGAGGGGGAUAACUACUGGAAACGGUAGCUAAUACCGCAUAACGUCGCAAGACCAAAGAGGGGGACCUUCGGGCCUCUUGCCAUCGGAUGUGCCCAGAUGGGAUUAGCUUGUUGGUGGGGUAACGGCUCACCAAGGCGACGAUCCCUAGCUGGUCUGAGAGGAUGACCAGCCACACUGGAACUGAGACACGGUCCAGGCUCCUACGGGAGGCAGCAGUGGGGAAUAUUGCACAAUGGGCGCAAGCCUGAUGCAGCCAUGCCGCGUGUAUGAAGAAGGCCUUCGGGUUGUAAAGUACUUUCAGCGGGGAGGAAGGGAGUAAAGUUAAUACCUUUACUCAUUGACGUUACCCGCAGAAGAAGCACCGGCUAACUCCGUGCCAGCAGCCGCGGUAAUACGGAGGGUGCAAGCGUUAAUCGGAAUUACUGGGCGUAAAGCGCACGCAGGCGGUUUGUUAAGUCAGAUGUGAAAUCCCCGGGCUCAACCUGGGAACUGCAUCUGAUACUGGCAA
RNAcentral lists this ribosomal RNA (649 nucleotides) under Escherichia coli. Its description in RNAcentral is "bacterial SSU rRNA". It matches the Rfam family "Bacterial small subunit ribosomal RNA", at positions 1 to 639 of the family's 1533-position model. Lineage: Bacteria; Pseudomonadati; Pseudomonadota; Gammaproteobacteria; Enterobacterales; Enterobacteriaceae. The record is from RNAcentral.